CCUGCGCAUCCGGAGCCUGUGCUCCGUAACGGGAGAGGCUACAACAGUGAGAGGCCCGCGUACCGCAAAAAAAAAAAAAAAGAACAGGCAAUAAAACGAAUUUAAUCUAGAAGCAGCAGCUCAGUAAGGGAAAUGAAAACAUCAGAAGUUAUCUAAUCACAGCCACAGCCAUCCAGGGCUCUGUCUUAUCUGCUGGGUAAUAAAAAUGGGACCUUCCUAAACUUGAAGGGCAUCAAAUAAAAUAAGUAGUAAAGUUGUUGCUAGCCUCUGGCUCUUCGGGGGAUUGCUAUGCAGUUUAACCAGUGUAUACUAACUACAAAACACUGUCAUGGGUUUGAAACACCUAUGUUCUAGGAAAGUUUUUUGGGGGGUGCAGGGGGAAGGUUGUUUCCACAUAAAGCAAAAAUUGAAACACAAACACCUUUGAGAACAGGGAUUGUUAAGAGGGCAGCAGAAGGAAGGAAUGGGCAGAAAAGAAUAUCUCCUCUGAAGUUAGGGUAGUUUUUCCAGAAGAGUAGGGUUCAGUCUCAGUUUAAGGAGAACACUUAUAAAUACCUUGGACAGCUCAAAACUGCUAUUGGGGAACCCAGAACCAAGUGAGCCAAGAAUGGAGCAGUGCUUUAAAACUCCUGGCAAAGCAGCAAGAGGAUGAAGAGUUGGUUUUGCAUCGUUCUGAACACAGCAGUAAAGAAGCAGAGGCACCUCUUCCCAAAAGGCGCCGGAAUCCUACGGCAUCAACGGAUCCGUCGCGGGGGCGGGGGUGCGGGGGGUAUUUCUCAAAGUCUCCCAGGGCACUCACCCCUCCCUACUCCGCCCCACUACUCCGUCCACCCUUCCUCCCUCCACCUCCAGGACCCGCCCACCCCCCGGGGGUGUGCAGCACUUCUUAAGCUCUAGCCCCCAGGGGCCACCUCUGCAGCCCGGACUCUUCCUGGAGCUUGGCAAGUUCUGGGACUGAAAGCCAGGCUUGCACGGCCGCCAGGGGCCACUCGGGCCUGGAGGUCGGGGGGUGGGGUGUGCGUGGGGGAACUAGAGCCUUAAAGGCCACCCACUUCCUUCGAGGGGACGAGUAACGCAUCUUCCUCACAGUGCUUCUCAGGGGUCAGCCCGCUCCUCACUCGACGGUGAUCAAUACUCACUCGACGCGGCUCGGACCACCUCCUGUGCCCCUGGACUCCGCCCUAAGGGUCCUCUGGCGUCUGUGACGGCGCGGGUCCCGGCCUCUUCAGUCGGCUCAGGCCAGCGCUUCAGGGGUCCCUCCAGUCCCCUCCCCCCCGGCACUUUCUCUAACCGAGGAAGGAGCGGAGAGGAACUUGGCUGAAUCAAGGGACCUGCGAGCCUAUGGAUGAGUUCUAAACCCGAGAGCCAAUUAAAUAUUAUUGGAACCUACUGUAAGGGCAGGGAAGGGGAGGUUAGGAGGCGGAGAGGCUGAGUCCCACGGCGGCGGUCCAGCCCCGGAACCCAGCACAGCCCUCCCUCGGCCCUUCCCCGCCAUCAGGACGAGGGGCGCUGCCACCCCAGCCGGGACCCUGCGCCUCCCCGCCCCCGAUUCCCCUCAGGACGCGCAAGUCGGCCCCUCCCCACCCACGCCGGGCCGAGCAAGCCGAGCGGAGGGCAGGGGCGAGACGAAGGGCCAAAGUUCCCCGGACUAAGACGCCCCGCGCAGGUCUUCCUACACAUCAGCUGCGGCUCUGGGAGAACGCCUGCGCCUCAAAGGAAACGUCUUGGAUGGAUGCCCAACUGCUACCAAAACCGGUGAGGGUAUCGCUCACCUCUGCAUCCUCGGUGUCUACAAGAGCGCCUGGCAUAUGGUAGGAGUCUAGUAAUUAUUUUUUAUCAAAUAAGUGUAUGAAUAAAUGAAUGAACGAUGAGGCUUUUUUUUUUUAAUCCCAUAAUGUCUUCCUGAAUACAUCCACUUCACAAAAAGUAUAAGACAGAAAGGCUUAGGGAUCACCAAUGUUUGAAAAUAGAUAGAAACACGCUGACUUAUGUAAGGGGUAGCCACUGCCACAUGUUCUGAAGCACUUUAGAAAGAAAGCGUGGCUUUCUUGUUCCAUACUUAUUAAAAGUCGAAUUCAGACAAAUGAGUGCUAGAGGUGUGUAUACUGUGCAUUGCGUCUGUUUCUGCAACGGUAGAUAAACUAGACAGCUACAUUCUCUCAGCAUAGAGGUAUUGUCAGAGUCACAAAUUGGACUUCAGAAUCCAUAAGGUCCAGAAAAGGCUGUCUCUGUCUGACAUUAGGAUGACAUGGAGGAUAUGACACACAAUGUGAACAGAGAUACAGGGACAUAGGAGGGUCUUCCUCCGCAUCCUCUUAAGGCACAUCUAACAAGACUUCUCUGACAACCUGGAGGGUGGAUGGCAAGAAAUAAACUCUUUCUGUCAUUGUUCGAAUUCUCACUUCCUUUUAUGAAAACAGAUUCUAUUCCGGAUAGAACCCUUUCAGAUUUCAGAUUUACUUGUUCUUACUCUAUUAAUAGUUAUACAGAAUUCAGAUAUAUUACUGUUAUUUGGCCCAUUUGACUGAUGUAAUAUUGACAAGAUGUGAUUUAUGUGCUCAGAAUGACACAGCUGGAGGGCUAUGUGACUGUAAUUACUUGGGGGUUUUAUCACCUUCCCUCCAAAGGGAAGUGUGCAAAUGUGAAAGCACCAAUUGUUCCCAAUUACUUGAGAUACUUUCUGGAAAUAUCUAACCCCUUCCUGCAUUUUUUUUUUUUUUUUUUUGUGGUACACGGGCCUCUCACUGUUGUGGCCUCUCCCGUUGCAGAGCACAGGUUCCGGACGCGCAGGCUCAGCGGCCAUGGCUCACGGGCCCAGCCGCUCCGCGGCAUGUGGGAUCCUCCCGGACUGGGGCACGAACCCGCGUCCCCUGCAUCGGCAGGCGGACUCUCAAUCACUGCGCCACCAGGGAAGCCCCCCUUCCUGUAUUUUUAUUAGCCACAUUGAAAGGAAAAUGAUCAGAUGAUUGUAUAGAAUUUUAAAGCGUACAACGUGCCUUUAAAAUUGCUUAAUAAACAAGUGGUUUAAAUAUCAUCAGAGAUGUUACCGGAAUUCAGUUAGGAUGGUAUGUGUCACAUCUGAUGGACAAUGGAAUGGUAAAUAACAAAUCAAAUAAGUAAAUGCUCACGUAGAAAAAUACAACAUAGCAUUUUAUGAAUAAGAGCUUAUUGCCAUAAUAAGAUAUAUAAAAUUGACUUCAUGGAUAUAAAUAGCAAAAGAAAAACCCGAAAGCAAAACUUUUUUUUAAUCAAUUUUCUCUCCAGACCAAAAAAAAAAAAAGCCUAAGAAGUAAAAUAAAAUUAGGAAUUUACCUAUUGGUCUGUGUCCUUCCAAUGGACACAAAAAUUUUAACAUGCGUUUGGUUGUAGCAGGCUGCUGACCUGUUUAACUAAGGGGAGGUGUUUGAUUUUGUUCAUGUAACCUGAUGUGAAUACAGAAGGGCCAGAGCUCUUGAACCUGAAGAUAUUUCAAACUAAGAAGUAGCAACAAAUCUUCAGGUUACUCGUACUUGUUAGACUGAAUUGCUGUGGUACACGGAGCUCAUUGGAAGAGCAGUUGGCUAGUUGUCCCCUCCGGACAGUUUGUACCAAGUGGGUGGACAUCCUGGAAAUAUACAAAAGUAUCCUAGAAUCUCAGGGUCGCAGAGUACCUUCCAUACCAAUGAAUAGCCCGCAUGUACUUACAAAUGGGCUGUUCAGUGACCAAAUUGUUUGUUUAAUUAUUGUAUCAAAGCAUAAUCUAAACAGUGAUAUAGGCAUUUGGCCAAGUAAUUCAUGGUGUUUAGUAAUUUAUCUACCGGAGACUUGGCCCUGGAAAAUAGUCCCCUCUAACCUACUUGAUUUUAGGAAUUUAGGAACAUAACAAGACCAUGUGAUUAUGCACUGGGUUGACUUUACUGUUCUGUCACCCCACCACUUACAUAUGCCCUAAUUUUUGUGGCACAUGUGGGCUUAGGGAUUUUACAAAUAGAAGAGCCAUUGUAGUAUUUUCCUCCACCUCAGUUCCUUGUAUUACACAUGUAGUGGUUAGAAACAGAACAGAUGUGACCAUUUGCUGGUAACAGUGCUAGAUGAUUGGGGAAAAAAAAAAGAUGACCCCUAAUCUCUCCUAAUUAUACACAUUUAUCUAUACAACUUAGAUAAAUGAAAUAUUAAUAUUCCAUAUGCAUCAUACGAAACCCAUCAUUCUUCCCUUACCGUUAACUCCCUGGAUAGUUUAUAUUUCCUGAUGCCCAUUGUUUGGCUUCUUUCCUCUCUGGUUUCCACUUUUUUAUUUGGUUGAUGUUCAAGAGCCUACUGAAACAGACACACAAGAACUGAAUGGAAUUUCUCAGGCAGGAAUUUCUUAUGUAAAGUGGCCUCUCACUGAACUAUGGUUUUGCUCAUCCACCAGACUUACAGAGUGCAGCUGACUCUGUGAAAAGGCUCUGUCAAUGGAACCAACCCCAGUGCCAAUGCAGGGGCUCAUUCAUUUACUGAGAGCACCCACUGAGAGGAGAUCCUUUUCCCAACACAGUUUAAUAAGACAUGAUGUUCAAACCUGAGUACUGAAGACAGCUUUUAAAAGAAUAAAACAUCCUCUGAGAGAUCCAAAGACCCAAUGUAAAAACACUCAUUUUAUUCUACAAAAAGAUGUUUCAAUUGUAAAUGAUCACUGCAAAAGCAAUGGUUUAUAAGAGGGAGUGGUUUCUGCAACUGGGCCUUCUAUAUGGAAAUGAUGAAUAUUUGGUUACCCUUUGAGCCCCUCCUAUGGUUAUUAUUUCCCCUCCUGGAGUUUAGGAACUUUUAUUAUUUUCUAUUCCCAUUUUCCAAAGAAUUGCAGAUGUGCUUGGUAGGAUAGAUACCUGAGGGAAGUGCAUAGGCUUAGAACAAAAACAAAAACAGCCUUUAUGCUAUUAGUACAUGGGGAAAUUAAAAGUUACCCCCCAUAAAAGAAUUUAUUGUGCUAAAACUAUAUGAGAAACUCUGAGUGGAACUUUGGUUACCAGGGAAGAGACAAGUCGCUUCUUGGGGAAGGGGUGACAUCACCAAGAAUGUAGUGAGAAUAAGAGAAGAUAAAUGAUGGCUGAUCUAGGAAUCUGCAGUUGGGAGUGAGAUGAAUAAGCCCAACUUCCAAACUCUCUCCUGCUCAGGAGUGGUAUCAGUGUAUUGCUCACUUAGUGUAGCUCUAGGGACCAUGGAACAGGGUAACAUUUUGGAGAAAGGGAAUCAAAAGUCUCUAUCCUAUUGAAGAUGCCAAAAGGAGGAUUUAAAAUGUGUUCCAUUUGACUAUAUUUUCAAAUGCACUUUCUCAAAAACAAAAGCAGGACACCUUCUUUAGAAAUCAUUUACACACAUAUAUUGCAAAAGGUAACAAAAUAUAUAUUUUGUUACCAAAAAAAAAAAGAUAAUAUACAGGAAUGCUUGUAUAUGAAGAGGAAGUAGUUAGAAAGAUACAUAUAAAAAUGUUAACAGGGGUUACCUUUGGGGAGCGGGAAUGGGGCUGGGGACUAGUGUGGGAGUGAGUACUUGCUUCUCACUUUAUAUAUUCCAUAUUUGAAAAAAAAUGUUCACCUGAAGUGGGUAUCCUUUUUUUUAAUUUGGGUUUUUUUUUGUUUGCUUUUUUUCUUGUGCUUGAGACUUAAAAAUUGAAGUAUAGUUGAUGUAUUUCAAUAUAAAAGGUAUCAUUUUUAUAAUAAUUAAACUUCUAAAAAUAUUUCUUUGUGUACCUGAUCUGUGCAAGAACAGAAGGCAGAAGAGGUGUUAGAACAAUGUAAGAGUGACAUCAUAGUGUCCAAAUGUGUUUGGAUGCAGAAUGUCAUUGAUAAUCAUGUUUGACUAAUAAAUACUGGUAUUAAGAUGA
Molecule: long non-coding RNA, 5842 nt
Organism: Orcinus orca (killer whale)
Lineage: Eukaryota; Metazoa; Chordata; Mammalia; Artiodactyla; Delphinidae
Exons: 2
Source: RefSeq, a predicted model, not a curated record